RNAcentral lists this ribosomal RNA (1372 nucleotides) under uncultured bacterium. Its description in RNAcentral is "bacterial SSU rRNA". It matches the Rfam family "Bacterial small subunit ribosomal RNA", at positions 28 to 1381 of the family's 1533-position model. The record is from RNAcentral.
GAUGAACGCUGGCGGCGUGCCUAAUACAUGCAAGUCGAGCGAACGGACGAGAAGCUUGCUUCUCUGAUGUUAGCGGCGGACGGGUGAGUAACACGUGGAUAACCUACCUAUAAGACUGGGAUAACUUCGGGAAACCGGAGCUAAUACCGGAUAAUAUUUUGAACCGCAUGGUUCAAAAGUGAAAGACGGUCUUGCUGUCACUUAUAGAUGGAUCCGCGCUGCAUUAGCUAGUUGGUAAGGUAACGGCUUACCAAGGCAACGAUGCAUAGCCGACCUGAGAGGGUGAUCGGCCACACUGGAACUGAGACACGGUCCAGACUCCUACGGGAGGCAGCAGUAGGGAAUCUUCCGCAAUGGGCGAAAGCCUGACGGAGCAACGCCGCGUGAGUGAUGAAGGUCUUCGGAUCGUAAAACUCUGUUAUUAGGGAAGAACAUAUGUGUAAGUAACUGUGCACAUCUUGACGGUACCUAAUCAGAAAGCCACGGCUAACUACGUGCCAGCAGCCGCGGUAAUACGUAGGUGGCAAGCGUUAUCCGGAAUUAUUGGGCGUAAAGCGCGCGUAGGCGGUUUUUUAAGUCUGAUGUGAAAGCCCACGGCUCAACCGUGGAGGGUCAUUGGAAACUGGAAAACUUGAGUGCAGAAGAGGAAAGUGGAAUUCCAUGUGUAGCGGUGAAAUGCGCAGAGAUAUGGAGGAACACCAGUGGCGAAGGCGACUUUCUGGUCUGUAACUGACGCUGAUGUGCGAAAGCGUGGGGAUCAAACAGGAUUAGAUACCCUGGUAGUCCACGCCGUAAACGAUGAGUGCUAAGUGUUAGGGGGUUUCCGCCCCUUAGUGCUGCAGCUAACGCAUUAAGCACUCCGCCUGGGGAGUACGACCGCAAGGUUGAAACUCAAAGGAAUUGACGGGGACCCGCACAAGCGGUGGAGCAUGUGGUUUAAUUCGAAGCAACGCGAAGAACCUUACCAAAUCUUGACAUCCUUUGACAACUCUAGAGAUAGAGCUUUCCCCUUCGGGGGACAAAGUGACAGGUGGUGCAUGGUUGUCGUCAGCUCGUGUCGUGAGAUGUUGGGUUAAGUCCCGCAACGAGCGCAACCCUUAAGCUUAGUUGCCAUCAUUAAGUUGGGCACUCUAAGUUGACUGCCGGUGACAAACCGGAGGAAGGUGGGGAUGACGUCAAAUCAUCAUGCCCCUUAUGAUUUGGGCUACACACGUGCUACAAUGGACAAUACAAAGGGCAGCGAAACCGUGAGGUCAAGCAAAUCCCAUAAAGUUGUUCUCAGUUCGGAUUGUAGUCUGCAACUCGACUACAUGAAGCUGGAAUCGCUAGUAAUCGUAGACCAGCAUGCUACGGUGAAUACGUUCCCGGGUCU